This 253-nucleotide ribosomal RNA is filed under the name uncultured bacterium. Its description in RNAcentral is "partial 16S ribosomal RNA". It matches the Rfam family "Bacterial small subunit ribosomal RNA", at positions 524 to 776 of the family's 1533-position model. The record is from RNAcentral.
UACGGAGGGUGCGAGCGUUGUCCGGAAUCACUGGGCGUAAAGGGCGCGUAGGUGGCGCAACAAGUCAACGGUGAAAGCUCGGCGCUCAACGCCGAGUCGGCCGUCGAUACUGUUGGGCUGGAGCACUGUAGAGGCAGAUGGAAUUCCGGGUGUAGCGGUGGAAUGCGUAGAGAUCCGGAAGAACACCGGUGGCGAAAGCGCUCUACUGGACUGCAACUGACACUCAGGGACGAAAGCUAGGGGAGCGAAUGGG